GGGUUGUGAGGUUAAGCGACUAAGCGUACACGGUGGAUGCCCUGGCAGUCAGAGGCGAUGAAGGGCGUGCUAAUCUGCGAUAAGCGCCGGUAAGGUGAUAUGAACCGUUAUAACCGGCGAUACCCGAAUGGGGAAACCCAGUGUGAYUCGUCACACUAUCAUUAACUGAAUCCAUAGGUUAAUGAGGCGAACCGGGGGAACUGAAACAUCUAAGUACCCCGAGGAAAAGAAAUCAACCGAGAUUCCCCCAGUAGCGGCGAGCGAACGGGGAGGAGCCCAGAGCCUGAAUCAGCAUG
Molecule: ribosomal RNA, 296 nt
Filed under: Salmonella enterica subsp. enterica serovar Panama
Lineage: Bacteria; Pseudomonadati; Pseudomonadota; Gammaproteobacteria; Enterobacterales; Enterobacteriaceae
Description: partial 23S ribosomal RNA
Source: RNAcentral